GAAUCUCACAUCUAUGCCCCUAAGAUUCUGCCUCAAACCUUCAAGAGCAUUGAGAUUCUGCAAGGAGAUGGAGGAGUUGGAAGCAUUAAGCAGACAAACUUCGCAGAUGGUAAGCUUGAUGAAUCAUGCAAUGUUAUUAGUAUUAUUUUGCAGAAUCAAAAUUUUUAGUUAAUAAUGGGUGUUUAUAUUGCAGGGUUUGGAGUGAAAUAUUUGAAGUACAAGAUUGACACAGUGGACAAGGAGAAUUUCAUAUUCAAUUAUACUGCAUUUGAAGGUGAACCAUGGCUAGAUACGCUUGAUAAAGUUGUAUACGAGACGAAAUUAGUAGCUACUCCUGAUGGAGGAUCCAUAACCAAGCUCAUUAGCAAGUACUAUCCAAAAGGUGAUGCUGAGGUUGACACUGACGUUAUCAAGAAAGGAGAAGACAAUGCCUUGGGAAUGUUCAAGGCUAUUGAAGCCCACAUCCUGGCAAAUCCUGACGUUUAAUUUCCUCUUAUUUUUCGGUUUAAUAUUUUUUUCUGCUUAGUAAUAAACGAGCCUGCAGUUUGUUGCGUUGAAUGAAUGGCUUGAAUUGUAUUGUCUUCGGGGUAAUUGAACUAAAAUUGAUAAAUAUAUUAAAAUUUUACUUAUUUCCUUUAUGGCGUACUAAUAGAUUUGUGAUGUAUGGAUAUGCAUUUCUUGAUUUUUGCAUCCUCAAUAUAUAUUUUGCUUCCUUACUUUUAGAUCCUAACUUCGUCCUAUACCAGUAAAAAAUAAGUUUGUUAUGGCAAAAUUUUCAUAAGAAAUUGAGUCAAGAAGCCUUUAUUUAUUUAGGAGUUUAAUGAUAAAAACCUGGAAAAUCCAGGAUUUUGCAAUGUGUUUACCAUUAUUUUUAAUUUAAAACAGUUCCAAUAAUCUAGAAAAUAAAAAACGAACAUCUAGAAGGUUUCUCGAUCGUGAAAUCACAGUGUCUUCAAUCUCUUCCUAAUAGCCUCGUAAUCCUAAAAAGAAAAUAAAACAAUAAAGAGUCUUAAAGACACAUUUAAAUUUAGCAAGUCACCUCUGUAAAAUUAAAGAUUAUAAAAAGUAUUUAUGGAUUUAAAAUAGUUAUAAAGUCUAAAAUCGAGAUUAGCCUCGUAAAAAAAUAGAAUAUUGAUUAUAAUUUAAAAAAAAAAAUAGAAUUCCACAUGUAACAUUGACUAAAUAAUAAAGGGCAGAGCUAAAAUUUAAAAGAAUGAGAGCAAAUUAAUAUAAAAUUUUAAUUAAAGAAAAAUUGCAUAAAGAUGGAAGGGCAAGAUGACUGAAGAUGGAAGGGCAAGAUGAUUGAAAGUGUUUCAUAAUUUUUUUAGCUUAAGGCUUAAACCUUGGUGUUAUCAAAGAAUUUAAAAAAAAAAAAAAAAAAACGAUCCAAUACAUAGUUUCGCCGCUCUUCAAUUUUAAAAAAUUCAUCCAAAUAAAAUUUUAACUUACAAAUUCAGAUAAAUAAUUUUUUGACUUACAAAUUCAGAUAAAAAUUCAUCCAAUAAACACUUUUAUAUUCCAAUUUUUUCUUUUCUUUUUAUAUAUAAUACUAUUUUUAUAAGUUAUAGCACUCAAUAUGGUAAUCUAUAUAGUAACUUUUAAAGGUUACGAGAUCAUUUUUGAAAUAUUAUCCCACUAAAUAUUUAUUAAUUGAUAAUUAUUUAACACUUGUACCUUUUACUUUUUUUUUUUUUUACAAGUUAACAAGCCUUACCUGUAAUAUAUAAAACUAAUUCUUUUUACUUUUUUUUUUUUCAUUUUAAACUUAGCAGCUAAUAUCAAACAAUUAGUUUUUACCAAACAAUUUUCUUUAAACCGCUAAGGAUAUAACUUAUUUAUAUAAUUUUCCUAUUAUAUUCAUAUUAAAUAAUACAUAAAUAAUUAUUAUAUUGGAAUAAUAAAUAAAAAUUAAUGUAAAUUAUUGAAAAUAAGAUAAAAUUUAAUUAAAAUAUAAUAGACAAUUUAAAAAUUAACUAUAAUGUAAAAAAAAAGACUAUAUUUUAAGGAAAAAAAAAAAGAGCUAUCUUUUGAGACCAAUGAGCAUUAGAACACCAAGAAUUGCGGGAUAAUCACUUGGGAGAAAGAAUACGAUUAUUUGAUGGCGAUGUUAGAUCUUAGAAGUAUUGACUUAUGACAUCAAUGGAGUCCACCGCAAGCUGCCACGCCCAUUCGUUGAUUGUCACAGUUUGAAAAUUUUUAUGGGUUGUUUGAUAAGUAUUAUUGACAAUUGACCUAAUAUUUUAAAGGUACAAUUCAAAUUCUAAUCGGGUUGAUCUAAAUAAAAAUAUUCAAAUUUUUUAAAUAAAAGGUCAAGUAUUUUAUUCUUGUGAACGAAAAAAAAAAAUAUAUUUAAAGUGUCUAACGCUGAGUGAGUAAGAUUAGAUUCACUCUAAUGAAUUGAAAAUAUCUGUAGUUGAACACCAAAGAGAUACCGUUGUUAAUUUUGUAAUUAUUAUUAAAUUAAACACCAUAAAAUUUAAAUUUAAAGCUAAGGAUCAAAUUCUUAGAAAAGUUAAUUUUUAAAUCUAAGGAAAAGUUUUUUUUUUUAUAUAUAAUUUUAAUUAUAUAAUGUCCAAAUCAUCCAAUAGAAUCAUAAAUUUUCUUUUAACCAUUACGCUUUUUAUUUAAAAAAUAUUGAUUAAUGACAAAGAAAGCAUAUUUUUUAUCAAUUCUAGCCAGUUUUUUUUUAAUUUUAUCAAUCAAUACCGCAUAUUUAGUUUUCUAUAUAAAUUCUAGCCUCCGUUUAUCUUCCGUCAAUUUCAUGCUAAUACGGCAAUUAUCUCUCACAAGUGGACCCUACAACAUCCAAUGUCAGCGCCAAGUCAUAUAUCUACAUAUAUUAAAAAAAGCUUGAACUUUAAGAAUUUUUAUCAAAGCUGGUCAAUUCUUUUAAUUUUAUCAAUUAAUAUCACGUAUUAAUUAAUCUCUAUCAAAUGAUUCGGUUAUAUUGAUGUUUAUUCAAUUAAAUAGUUUAUUAAUUAACUAUGUAUAUUAAGUGUCUAAUGGCAUUAAUCAAUUAGAAUUCAAUUUUACUACAUUUAAAAAUGUUAUCAAUUAGUAUAUUUAAAAAUAACAUUUUUAAAAGACUCUUCGGUAAAAUUGAAUUCUAAUUGAUUAAUCCCAUUAUAUACUUAAUAUAUAUAGUUAAUUAAUAAAUUAUUUAAUUGAAUAAAUAUCAAUAUAACAAAAUCAUUUAAUAGAGAUUAAUUAGUAUGCGGUAUUGAUUGAUAAAAUUAAAAGAACUGGGUAGAUUUGAUAAAAACCUUAAAGUUCAUACUUUUCUUAAUAUAUGUAUAUAUAUAACUUGUCGCUGACAUUGGAUGUUAUAGGGCUCACUUGUGAGAGAUAACUGUCACAUCAGCAUGAAAUUGACGGAAGACAAACGGAGAUUAUAAUUGAUAUAGAAAAUUAGGUACAUAAUAUUGAUUAAUAAAAUUAAAAGAACCGGCUAGAAUUGAUAAAAAUGUCGAAGUUCAGACUUUUUUUUAUCAUUAAGCCAAAAAUGUUUUAUAAUCUAUAAUAUCAAGUUAUAUCAUUUAUAUUAAAUUAAUUUAUAAAAUAAAAGUCAUCAUCCAUCAAUUUAUAAGACUCAUUUCAAUUCCAAACGUAGAGAAAAAAAAAGUCAUCCAUUAACUUGUUUGUCAGGUUGGAUGACCACAGAAAUAAAAAAGAUAUUUUUUAUAUAAUAUAUAAUACCACACAAGACUAGAAAAUUAGGACAUCAAAAUUGACCAUUAACUAACUAUUAAAGGCAGAUAUUAUCACAUCAUCUGUUUAUAUAUAUAUAUAUAUAUAUAUAUAUAGCUCUUUUUAAGGAUUUAUUAUAUAUGGGGAGACAAGCCCUCCCCUUAUUUCCACAUCUUCACCACUCUAUCUUCUACCUCAAUUCAGCCACAAUAUCUCCACAAAACUGGCAGGCCUGUAUUAUCUUUUGUCAAAAAAUGAAUGGUAUAUGAUUGGCUACAUAUUUGAUAAUCCGAUAAGAUUUGCCUAUUUAGUGUAUACUGAGAUAAUGUUAAUGUAAUUAAGAGAUUGAAUUUUUAUGGUUCCCUAAAGUAAGCUUUAUCAUAAUUGAUCAUUUAGGCUCCAUUUAUUUUUAGAAAAUAAUAGGUCUAGAACAUAUUUUUCAAAUUUUUAAGAGUGGGGCUCAAGAAAAUCAAUCAACGGAAAGUAUUUUCUUAGUAAAAAGAAAAAUGUAAUUUUUAUGAAAAAUGCUCGUUUUUAAGAGAGGAAAACAAUUUUGAAAUAUUGAUAAACUUAUUUAUAAUCUUAUAAAUGCAUAUUUUUAAUCACUAAUGGUCAUUACCGUCAGUCAUCAGUCACCAUCAUCCACCACUAUCGACCACCAAUCAUUGGUAACCACUUUUCACUACCAUCAACCAUGACCACCAUCGAUCCUCAACGACUAUCAUAAUUCAUAUUUUUUUAUGCAUUUUUUCAUAUUUAACAAUAAAUUUUUAAAAUAUAAAACUUCUAUAAUUGUAAAUAUUUUAUGGUCUUGUAAUUUAAAAAUUUUAAUAUUUUUAAACUAAUUUUUCAAUAUUGUAACAACAGCGGAAAAUUAAUUAUUUGAAAAAAUAUUUUUCAAACAUAAAUUAUUUUUAUGGUCUUUUUUUUCAUAAUUCAGUCAAUUUGGCUUUAAUUAACUCGUGAUUCCAAUCAAAAUCUAGCGUUACUACCACAAAACAAUUUGCUACAAAGUUAAAUGAGAAGUAAAGCAAUUUCCCUGGCAACUCUGUUAGAGAAAACCGCCAAAGUCUUCUACCGUCGACUUGAGGCAAGGUCUAGAAGGUACACAAUUCAAUGUCGAUAGACUGAACUGGACGGUUGGGAAAUUAAUUCUAUCCAUUAUUGCAUGCAUUCUUUGACCAUUUAAAUGCAAAUCCUUUUACAUCUAAUCUUGAAAGCUCAUUCCACCUAUAAAUACCAUCUUUAGCUCUUGCAUUUUGCCUCAGACACACUCCAAAUUAAGCUAUCUACUAGCUAAUAGAUCUUGUUCGUUGUUUAGAUAUUUUUCUUACUUAAAUCCUUAAAUACGGAAAAUGGGUGUUUUGACUUAUGAGUCUGAGGUUGUUAGUGCUGUCCCUGCAGCCAAGUUGUUCAAGGUUUUUCUGUUUGAAUCCCACAUCUAUGCCCCUAAGAUUCUGCCUCAAACCAUCAAGAACAUUGAGAUCCUUCAAGGUGAUGGAGGCGUUGGAACCAUUAAAAAAACCAACUUUGCAGAUGGUCAGUUUUAUUAUUCUUAUACUACAUGAUGGACACUUAUAACAAUUAAGCUAUUAGCAAAUCUUGAUCCUCUAUAAUUUGCACUGAUUAUAAUAAUUCUUGAUUCUCUGUUGCAGGGUUUGAAGUGAAAUACAUAAAGCACAAGAUUGAUGCAGUAGACAAGGACAAUUUCACAUUUAAGUACACAUCGUUUGAAGGUGAGCCAUGGCUAGAUACCCUUGAUAAAGUUGUAUAUGAGACGCAAGUAGUGCCUACCCCUGAUGGAGGAUCCGUCACCAAGUUCACCACCAACUACUCUCCAAAAGGUGAUGCUGAGCUUGACGUUAACAUUGUCAAGAGGGGAGAUGAUAAUGCCAUAGGAAUGUUCAAGGCUGUCGAAGCCUACCUCUUGGCAAAUCCUGAUGUUUAAACAAGAAAAUCAAACCCCACGCCAUUAUGGUGAUCUUGUGUGCUAUUUUCUUGUUCAGCUAAAAACCAGCAAUCUUGCUUCCCCUUUUUCUUUUCCUUUUCAUUGCCAAAAUUACUUUUGGCGCAGUUGUAAGGUUUGUAUUGUGUGUGUGGAUGGUUUAGAGCCAUCAACUCAUGAUGAAUAUAAUAAGACAUCCUUUCCUUCUUAAUUUUUAUUUUUAUUUUUUGCAUUUUAAUUUCGAAGUUUUUAGAGCAUUUAAGUUUCAAACCGUAUAUAUGCCAAGCAACAUAGCUUUAUGGUUAAUGGUUUGGCUAGCUAGCUAGCACAAGUGUUUAUUUUACAGUAUUAAAGUUUAUAUAUAUUUAUAAUCUUAAUCAUGAACUUUGCCAAACUCGAAUUUAAAAGUGGAGGUUAAAAUAAUAUAAAAUUUAAUUAAAUGAAAAUCUUAAAAAGGAUAAAGUUACAAGAUGGUUGAAAUCUUUUAUUGGACAAGAUUGGAACCUUAAUCUUGUUAAGAAAAAAAAUUGUUUUUCCUAAAAGAGAAGAGUGCAAUUAUCUCCUCUUAACAAUGUAGUUUCGUCAUUCAUCAUGAAGCUUAGAAUUUAUGAAUCAAGAUUGAUUCCACUAAAAAAUGUUUUAAAAUUUUUAAGAUAAUAUUUUGAAUAUAUUGUAUAUUCGUAAAACUUGAAAAAUACUUAUAUUGGAAAUAAAAACUGUAAUUCUACAUUCUAAAAAAAGAUGUAAUUCUAUAUACCAAAUAAAAAGACAAACCGAGAAAAUACUUGCCCAUAUUUGAAAAUACAACGUCAUCCUUGUGCGCAGUAGAUCGACAGGUAUAGUACUGCCUCAAGGACCGUUGAUGGUAUGUUUAGUUGGUAAAAUUUAUCUAGAAUCUAUCUACAAGACUCAUGCAUGAAUCAAACUAAUUACAAUAUAAAAUUUUAACUUUAUUGUUUUUUUAGUGAAUGGUUCAAAUUACUUUUAUUUUUUUAAAAAAAAAUAUAAUUUCAUUUCAUAAAUACAAGAUUGUAGGUUAGGUCUAAGUAAGUCAUACUCUCGUACUUGUGAUUCACAUAAGGUGCAUAGGUACGAUUGCACACGACCCAUUUCAAUUCGACUCAACCGGAGCAAUUUAAUUAAAUUUAACUUAAUUGACCAAUUUAAGAAUAUAAUAUGUUGGACCGGAUAAGUAACUAUAUGAUUCACACGGAUUUGGUACACUAGAUAAACCAAUAAAUCCGUCCCAAUCCGUAAACAGUAUCAAUUAUAUAUACACACACGGUAUACAUACAUAUAACUAUCGACUGUUUAAAUAAAUUUAUUUUAAUUUUUAAUUUUUAAUAUAAAUAUUAAAUUAUACUCAUGAAGAGUGAGAUGGGAUGACAGAGAUACAUUUUCCCUUAAUCAGAAGUCUCAAGUUUAAGCCUUGGGUAUGAAGUCCCUUUAAACACUUGUGAGGGAGCGGUUUACCCCCUUUUGUGAGCCUGUCCGGCGCGAAUCUAGAUUAGUCGAGUAAGUAGACUUUGGAUACCUGAUGAUUAAAUCAAAAAUAUAAAUAUUAAAUUAUUACAGUUUUUUUAGUAUAAACUUGUUUUGAAAUGUUACUAUUAGAACAUAUUAUAAUUUAAAACUGAUUGUAUAAUUAUUACUAACUAAUUUUGAUUUUGUUAGUUGAAGCAAUCUAAUUUCUCAUUAUUGCUGCUUAUUAUUAUUAUUAAGAAACUUAUUUUGAAAUGUUUUUAUAGGAAAAUGUUGUGGUUUAUGAAAAUUGUUGUAUAAGUAUGUUUCUAUUUAUAUUUAAUUUUGUUGGUUACCUUAUUCCUUUUAAAGUUAUUUUAUUAUUUACCAUUUAUUUUAUAUGUGGAUUUACAUUGAAUCCAAAUGCAAUUCAACCUCUUUUAUAAUUCAGGGGUUCACACAUUUAAUGGAUGUGGUUAAAAAGUGAUUAACCCAUAUAUGGAUUUAGUGCUUUAAAUAGAUAAACUUAACCCAAUCUGAUCCACGUGCAACCUAGACAUAGACCUCGGACUCUCCAAUUUUUUUUUUUUUUUUUUUAAUAUAAGCCUGGUUGCUAAUAUUUUAUAAAAAAAAAAUUUUUUUUAAAGUUAAUGCUUUACAAAAUAUAAUGGCUCCGGAUGCUAAUCAAUAUUUUGCAAACUUUUGAAUAUUUACAAAAGGUGGUUAUUUUUUAGUAGGUGUUUCUCAAAAUAAUAACUUAUGUUUGCCAAUAUUUUAAUAUUUUCAAAUAUUUUGCAAAAAAUGAUUAUUUUUGUAUAAAAAUUAAGGAAUUACAAAAUAAUAGCUCCUAUUUGUCAAUAUUUUUAUAAUACUUUCUAAUAUUUUACAAAAGGUAAUUUUUUUUAAAGAUGAAUAGUUUACAAAAAAAUAGUUCAAUUGUCAAUAUUUUGUUAUAAAAAUAUGGUAUAGAAGAUGAUUUUUUUUUAAUUAUCAGAUUAUAAAAUAUUACUCUAAUUGCCUUAUAAUUUGUAAUAUUUUUAAAUAUUUUAUAAAAAUAGUUUUUUUUUUUUUUUAACUCAGGUAAAAUUAAGUCAUGAUAGGAAUUAGGAGUCAUGCCCAUUCACUGAUGGUUACAAUUUUAAAACUCCGAUGGAUUGUUCCAUUAGCAGUUAUGGAGCUAGAAAUUAAAGUUAAGGGCUAAAAAGUUUUAAAAAAUUAAAGGAAAACGAAAUUGAAAAAAUUUAUUAGAGGGUAAAAUAAAAAAAAAUUUAAUAUUUUAUAUAUAAAUUCUUAAAAAAAAUUAUUAGGGGAGCAGGGCCACCCCUAGACCCCUAGCUCCAUCAAUGUUCAUUAGUAACAUUGACUAAAUAAUUGACUUAAUAUUUUAAAAGUAUAAGUUAAAUGCUUACAUCCAAUUAUUGCUGAAUUAAACUAUGAUUUCAUUCUAUCAUAAAAUUUAAUUUUUAAGUCUAACUAUCAAAUUUAUAUAUAAAAAAAGUUUGUUAUGUAUUUUUUAAUUAUAUUUUAAUGUCUAUAGAAUGGUCCACAUAUUUUUUAGCCAUUACGCUCUACUUAUUUAUUUAAAAAAUUAUUUUAUAUAAGUUUGUGCUUUCACUGUAAUACUAAUUAAGUUAUAUCAUAUAUUUUAAAUUAACUUAUAAAACAAAAGUCAUCAUCCAUCAAUUUAUAUAACUCGUUUCAAUUCCAAAAAAUAGAAAAACAAAGUCAUCCAUUAACUUGUUUCUUGGGUUGGAUGACCAUAGAAAUAAAAAAGAUAUCAUAUAAUUAGGAUUUCGGAGCACAUCAAAAUUGACUAUAUAUAUAUAUAUAUAUAUAUAUAUAUAUAUAUAUAUAGUAUAAUUUUUUAAAAUAUUAUUACUAGUUUAUAAUUUUUUUUUCAAAAAUACAUGCAUACGAAAUUAUUUUUAUUGAUUUAAUGUAUAAGUAAAUCUAUAUAGGGACAAUACGGAAGUCAUAAUCUAGAUGAUCAAUGGCAACUCUUAUUGGAUUACGCCGAAACAAUAAUAACAUAAUUAAGAGAGUGAAUAAUAUGUUACCUUUGCUUUAAGUAACCAUUUAUUAUAAUUUGAUCAUUUAACUUUUUUUUUUUUUCUAAAUAUGUCAAUUAGCCUUUAAUAUCAUUUUGCUAAAAGGUUAAAUGAGAAGUUAUGCAAUUUUCUUGUCAACUCUGUUAUAGAACACCGCCAAGUCUUUUACCAUCAACUUGUGACCAUGUCUAGAAGGUCCACAAUUCGUUUAUGGUAGACUGAACUGGACAGUCGGGAAAUUAAUUCUAUCCAUUGCAUGCAUUCUUUGACCUUAAAUGCAAAUCCUUCUACAUCUAAUCUUGAAGCUCAUUCCAUCGAUAUAAAUAACUUCCUCAGCUCUUGCAUUUUGCCACACACACUCCAUGUUAAGAUUACUAGCUAAUAUAUAGAUCUUGUUCAUUGUUUUAGAUAUUUUCUUUUCCAACUUAAGGGCUUAAUAUAAAACAUGGGUGUCUUGACUUAUGAGUCUGCGGUUGUUAGCGCUGUCCCUGCAGCCAAGUUGUUCAAGGUUUUUCUGUUUGAAUCUCACAUCUAUGCCCCUAAGAUUUUGCCUCAAACCAUCAAGAACAUUGAGAUCCUUCAAGGUGAUGGAGGCGUUGGAACCAUAAAAAAAACCAACUUUGCAGAUGG
RNAcentral lists this long non-coding RNA (9771 nucleotides) under Jatropha curcas. Its description in RNAcentral is "long non-coding RNA (JCUR_LNC000295)". Lineage: Eukaryota; Viridiplantae; Streptophyta; Magnoliopsida; Malpighiales; Euphorbiaceae. The record is from RNAcentral.